GCAGUGGUGGAUCAGUGGUAGAAUUCUUGCCUUUCAUGCAAGAGACCCAGGUUUGAGUCCCAGCCAGUGCA
Molecule: transfer RNA, 71 nt
Filed under: Loxodonta africana (African savanna elephant)
Lineage: Eukaryota; Metazoa; Chordata; Mammalia; Proboscidea; Elephantidae
Rfam family: tRNA
About the family: Transfer RNA (tRNA) molecules are approximately 80 nucleotides in length. Their secondary structure includes four short double-helical elements and three loops (D, anti-codon, and T loops).
Source: Rfam by way of RNAcentral